UAGCCGAGCCCGCCAGUAUCAGCGAGCCAAUCGCCGAGGGCAGUGCCGAGCGUCUGGGAAAAGGUGAUCGUCACCCAAUAGAAGAUUUCGACUUUUGGCGUUGCGACGGUCAUGACGUCCACGGAGCCCAUGGCAAAAUACCAGAUCGCAAGAGAAGUUAGGACGAGACAAAAGAGGAUCGACGCACCACCGGUGUAACCGAUCCCCAGGGAGCGAUCGAAGAAAUCCGCCAUGGCCGUGCCGACGGUCGUCGACGCCACGAUGGCGAUCCAGUAGACCCAGGCGUUGAAUUUCUUCGUGGAGAUCUGAGCCGCAACUGCGGCAAUGAAGAUGGCAAGGAAUAUUCCGGUGCCGAUCAGAUAUCCGCCGUUGUGUGCAUUCUUGUCA
RNAcentral lists this unclassified non-coding RNA (387 nucleotides) under Hevea brasiliensis (rubber tree). The record is from RNAcentral. Lineage: Eukaryota; Viridiplantae; Streptophyta; Magnoliopsida; Malpighiales; Euphorbiaceae.